RNAcentral lists this ribosomal RNA (482 nucleotides) under uncultured bacterium. RNAcentral describes it as "partial 16S ribosomal RNA". It matches the Rfam family "Bacterial small subunit ribosomal RNA", at positions 27 to 507 of the family's 1533-position model. The record is from RNAcentral.
GGACGAACGUUGGCGGCGUGCUUAAUACAUGCAAGUCAACUGAAGCAGUGGUAGCAAUAUCGCUGUGGAGGUGGCGCACGGGUGAGUAACACGUAGGUAAUCUGCCUUCAGGUCUGGCAUAACUCCGGGAAACCGGGGCUAAUAGCAGAUGAUGCAGCGGCUCGACAUCGAGACAGUUGUUAAAGCUAUGGCGCCUGAAGAUGAGCCUGCGUCUGAUUAGCUAGUUGGCGGGGUAACGGCCCACCAAGGCAACGAUCAGUAGCUGGUCUGAGAGGAUGAUCAGCCACACUGGAACUGAGACACGGUCCAGACUCCUACGGGAGGCAGCAGUAAGGAAUAUUGCUCAAUGGGAGAAAUCCUGAAGCAGCAACGCCGCGUGAGGGACGAAGGGCUUUGGCUUGUAAACCUCUGUAGUGAGAGAAAAAAAUACCAAUCUUUGGGACAUGAUGGUAUCUCAAAAGUAAGCCCCGGCUAACUACGUG